UGCCCAGCAACUCCCAUCCCUACCUCCUCGCGGUACUGGCCGGGGUACGAGUAACCUUAGAGAAGAUCGGGUAACCAACCCCCGGUGGGAACUUUGGUCGUAUGCUGACAGGGAAGG
Molecule: ribozyme, 117 nt
Filed under: Aedes aegypti (yellow fever mosquito)
Lineage: Eukaryota; Metazoa; Arthropoda; Insecta; Diptera; Culicidae
Description: drz-agam-1 ribozyme
Rfam family: drz-agam-1 ribozyme
Source: Rfam by way of RNAcentral